GACGAACGCUGGCGGCGUGCUUAACACAUGCAAGUCGAACGGAAAGGCCCUGCUUUUGUGGGGUGCUCGAGUGGCGAACGGGUGAGUAACACGUGAGUAACCUGCCCUUGACUUUGGGAUAACUUCAGGAAACUGGGGCUAAUACCGGAUAGGAGCUCCUGCUGCAUGGUGGGGGUUGGAAAGUUUCGGCGGUUGGGGAUGGACUCGCGGCUUAUCAGCUUGUUGGUGGGGUAGUGGCUUACCAAGGCUUUGACGGGUAGCCGGCCUGAGAGGGUGACCGGCCACAUUGGUACUGAGAUACGGCCCAGACUCCUACGGGAGGCAGCAGUGGGGAAUAUUGCACAAUGGGCGGAAGCCUGAUGAAGCAACGCCGCGUGCGGGAUGACGGCCUUCGGGUUGUAAACCGCUUUCGCCUGUGACGAAGCGUGAGUGACGGUAAUGGGUAAAGAAGCACCGGCUAACUACGUG
Molecule: ribosomal RNA, 468 nt
Filed under: uncultured bacterium
Lineage: Bacteria
Description: partial 16S ribosomal RNA
Rfam family: Bacterial small subunit ribosomal RNA
Source: RNAcentral